GACAGAGGGUGCAAACGUUGUUCGGAAUUACUGGGCGUAAAGCGAGUGUAGGCGGUUUGGUAAGUCGGAUGUGAAAGCCCCGGGCUCAACCCGGGAAGUGCACUCGAUACUACCAGGCUAGAGUAUCGGAGAGGUUGGUGGAAUUCUCGGUGUAGAGGUGAAAUUCGUAGAUAUCGAGAGGAACACCGGUGGCGAAGGCGGCCAACUGGACGAAUACUGACGCUGAGACUCGAAAGCGUGGGGAGCAAACAGG
Molecule: ribosomal RNA, 253 nt
Filed under: uncultured bacterium
Lineage: Bacteria
Description: partial 16S ribosomal RNA
Rfam family: Bacterial small subunit ribosomal RNA
Source: RNAcentral